Molecule: non-coding RNA, 75 nt
Organism: Mycobacterium avium subsp. paratuberculosis
Lineage: Bacteria; Bacillati; Actinomycetota; Actinomycetes; Mycobacteriales; Mycobacteriaceae
Rfam family: ASpks TB sRNA
Source: Rfam
UUUGAUCGACCCCAACCACAGCGGUUCGUCGACCGGGCGGUCCUGGCCGUAGGUCGCCAACAGCGCUUGGGCCUC